Molecule: long non-coding RNA, 347 nt
Organism: Lingula anatina
Lineage: Eukaryota; Metazoa; Brachiopoda; Lingulata; Lingulida; Lingulidae
Source: RefSeq, a predicted model, not a curated record
AGUAACGUAUACAUGUGCCGUUGAACCAAACUCUGCAGUGCCUGGAGACUCUUCAAAGCAAGGAAGGUAUACACUGGAUGUACAAUACCCAGUGCGACAGGGGCCAACGGUGACAUCAUCCACUGGUACAUGGACAGUUGAACAGGGAACAACAUUUACUCUCAACUGUCAGGCAAGCGGCAAUCCAAGUCCAAGCUAUGUGUGGACCAGUCCAGAUAAUACCAACUCUACUGGCUCUCAGCUUAUACUGACACUGACUAAUACUGGAACCUUUUUGUAUACUUGCUUUGCCACCAAUAGUUUGACGACAUCACCAUUUCCAACACCUGUCAGAGUGACGGUACAAG